This 484-nucleotide ribosomal RNA is filed under the name uncultured bacterium. RNAcentral's name for it is "partial 16S ribosomal RNA". It matches the Rfam family "Bacterial small subunit ribosomal RNA", at positions 30 to 507 of the family's 1533-position model. The record is from RNAcentral.
AUUGAACGCUGGCGGCAGGCCUAACACAUGCAAGUCGAGCGGAUGAAGGGAGCUUGCUCCUGGAUUCAGCGGCGGACGGGUGAGUAAUGCCUAGGAAUCUGCCUGGUCGUGGGGGAUAACGUCCGGAAACGGGAGCUAAUACCGCAUCCGUCCUGAGGGAGAAAGUGGGGGAUCUUCGGACCUCACGCUAUCAGAUGAGCCUAGGUCGGAUUAGCUAGUUGGUGGGGUAAAGGCCUACCAAGGCGACGAUCCGUAACUGGUCUGAGAGGAUGAUCAGUCACACUGGAACUGAGACACGGUCCAGACUCCUACGGGAGGCAGCAGUGGGGAAUAUUGGACAAUGGGCGAAAGCCUGAUCCAGCCAUGCCGCGUGUGUGAAGAAGGUCUUCGGAUUGUAAAGCACUUUAAGUUGGGAGGAAGGGCAGUAAGUUAAUACCUUGCUGUUUUGACGUUACCAACAGAAUAAGCACCGGCUAACUUCGUG